CAGAGACUGCAAGCGUUAUUCGGAUUCACUGGGCGUAAAGGGUGCGCAGGCGGUUGGGUGUGUCAGAUGUGAAAUCCCGAGGCUUAACCUCGGAACUGCGUCUGAAACUACUCGACCAGAGUACUGGAGAGGGAAACGGAAUUCACGGUGUAGCGGUGAAAUGCGUAGAUAUCGUGAGGAACACCAGAGGCGAAGGCGGUUUCCUGGACAGUUACUGACGCUCAGGCACGAAAGCAUGGGGAGCAAAAGGGAUUAGAUACCCCUGUAGUCCAUGCCCUAAACGGUGCACACUAGGUCUUAGCGGAUUCGACCCCACUAGGGCCCAAGCUAACGCGUUAAGUGUGCCGCCUGAGGACUACGGUCGCAAGACUA
This 372-nucleotide ribosomal RNA is filed under the name uncultured organism. Its description in RNAcentral is "bacterial SSU rRNA". It matches the Rfam family "Bacterial small subunit ribosomal RNA", at positions 526 to 896 of the family's 1533-position model. The record is from RNAcentral.